Callorhinchus milii (elephant shark) is the source of this 185-nucleotide long non-coding RNA. RefSeq lists it as uncharacterized. The record is from RefSeq and is a predicted model, not a curated record. NCBI's taxonomy places the organism in Eukaryota, Metazoa, Chordata, Chondrichthyes, Chimaeriformes, Callorhinchidae. The transcript has 3 exons.
ACCAUCACCCUCACCCCACUCCCCAACGACGCCACGAACAGGAAGAACCCAGUGAGAGGCAUCAUGGCCGCCGAGUCAGCGAGGCAUUAAUUGAGGAUCAGAUUUAUGGCAUUUUCCUGAUCCUCAACCAGUGGUCAAGCAUUAUGACAAGCCAGAAAUCUAUAAAAAAAAUCUGCAAAAUGUCA